GUUACAACUGGGAGCCCGGGUGGGCAGGUGAUUGCAAGAGAAUUCUUUGGAGUGAGAAGAUUUUGCUGUGAGAAAGGAGAAGAUUAAUCAGGAAAGUCUGUCUGAAGAAGGAAGUUUCCCAAGGAAACUUCUAACUCAAGGGCAUAGGAGAGCCGAAGCAGUGUGCCUCACCUUCAACUGUGUAUCUCCAGGUUUUCCUCUCAUUCUUUAACUUGCUCCUGUAUUUUAGGUUGCUGUUUGUGUUUGUC
Molecule: long non-coding RNA, 248 nt
Filed under: Homo sapiens (human)
Lineage: Eukaryota; Metazoa; Chordata; Mammalia; Primates; Hominidae
Description: HSALNT0109252
Source: RNAcentral